RNAcentral lists this RNase P RNA (336 nucleotides) under Kiritimatiellaceae bacterium. Its description in RNAcentral is "RNase P RNA component class A". It matches the Rfam family "Bacterial RNase P class A". From Rfam's summary of the family: Ribonuclease P (RNase P) is a ubiquitous endoribonuclease, found in archaea, bacteria and eukarya as well as chloroplasts and mitochondria. Its best characterised activity is the generation of mature 5'-ends of tRNAs by cleaving the 5'-leader elements of precursor-tRNAs. Cellular RNase Ps are ribonucleoproteins. Lineage: Bacteria; Pseudomonadati; Kiritimatiellota; Kiritimatiellia; Kiritimatiellales; Kiritimatiellaceae. The record is from RNAcentral.
CAAAUAGAGUGUAUCGGUCGCAUCAGUUUAUGAUGAGGAAAGUCCGGACUCCACAGGGUAAAGUGUCCUUUGGAAACAAAGGAGGUUACGAGCCAUAUCUCGUAAAACGGAAAGUGCUACAGAAAAUAAACCGCCAUUUAUAUGGUAAGGGUGAAAAGGUGAGGUAAAAGCUCAUCAUUUUUAUUGGUAACAAUAAAAAUUUAGUAAACCCCACUUGGAGCAAGAUCAAAUAGGAAGUUUUGAUGACCCGUCUAAUAACUUCGGGUAGAUCGCAUAGAUAAAUGACCGACCUUUUUUNAAAAGGAACAGAAUCCGGCUUACCGCUCUAUUUGUAUU